CCUACGGGAGGCUGCAGUGGGGAAUAUUGGACAAUGGGCGAAAGCCUGAUCCAGCCAUGCCGCGUGUGUGAAGAAGGCCUUCGGGUUGUAAAGCACUUUCAGUGGGGAAGAAAGCCUUGGGGCUAAUACCCUCGAGGAAGGACAUCACCCACAGAAGAAGCACCGGCUAACUCCGUGCCAGCAGCCGCGGUAAUACGGAGGGUGCGAGCGUUAAUCGGAAUUACUGGGCGUAAAGCGCGCGUAGGCGGUCUGAUAAGCCGGUUGUGAAAGCCCCGGGCUCAACCUGGGAACGGCAUCCGGAACUGUGAGGCUAGGGGGCAGGAGAGGAGGGUAGAAUUCCCGGGGUAGCGGGGAAAUGGGGAAAGAUCGGGAGGAAUCCCAGUGGCAAAGGGGGCCUUCUGGACUGACACUGACGCUGGGGUGCGAAAGCGUGGGUAGCAAACAGGAUUAGAUACCCCAGUAGUC
Molecule: ribosomal RNA, 465 nt
Filed under: Vreelandella stevensii
Lineage: Bacteria; Pseudomonadati; Pseudomonadota; Gammaproteobacteria; Oceanospirillales; Halomonadaceae
Description: partial 16S ribosomal RNA
Rfam family: Bacterial small subunit ribosomal RNA
Source: RNAcentral